UGCCACUGUUGCUGGAGAAAUGUCACUGCUAGAGAAUAGAAGACUAUUAUUCCAAAGGGUAUUUGAGACUGACUGAAUCAGGUCUGGAACAUUAUUGAAAUGAGACCCACAAAGGAAGAGAUACUGAGUAAUUCAGCAUUUCCAGUGACACCUUUCUGGCUGUGCUUCAAAGGGAAGAUGACGCUAGAGCUGGCAGCAUGACCAGCACUGUGUAAAUCACCCAGACAGACAACAACACAACAUCCAUGAAUAGAUGGCAGAGUUAGCAAGAAAAAAUAGCUUGGAGGAUGGAAAAACCCCAAA
RNAcentral lists this long non-coding RNA (303 nucleotides) under Pan troglodytes (chimpanzee). RNAcentral's name for it is "long non-coding RNA NONPTRT015344". Lineage: Eukaryota; Metazoa; Chordata; Mammalia; Primates; Hominidae. The record is from RNAcentral.